AUGACAAGGAGAUAAGCUCUUUUCCUUCCUCAUGAAUAUUUUCUGUUCACCAAGAUUUCUCCUGGUUUCUUUCUUGUUGUCGUUGUUGUUCUGUAUUUCCCUAUUUGCUAACAAUAAUGGUAGAUUGGAGGAUGGCCAAUGAGACAGAAAAAAGAGACGGUGCUAUUUAUUUAUCAGAAUGUGUCAACGGAUGUUUGAGAGUGGUGUCAAUGUCGAGCACACAUGAGUGGAGUGCAUAUGGUGUCCACGUUGCAUCUCAUGCCUUUACCGUAAGAGAUGUCGACAUUAUACAGAUUCGGUGAGGAUUGCAAAUCCGAAGACUCCUGAAACACAUUUUCUGGCAUUGCCUUCAAUUGUGCAAAUCUUACAGAGUUGUCCUUAAAUUAUGCAAAUUGUGUUAUAAAAAGGAAACAACAUAAGAAGAACUAUGUCGGUGUCACAUCAAAAUGACUAUAAUGCCAUAUAAAAGAAAAACGGCUUUUAAAUUUGAUUUCAUUCACUCAUUAUUGGCAACAUGCUUUGAGGUACAGAGAACUUCUCUAGUCACACAGGCCUAGCUGGAGUUCUAACCCACAAAACGUGGCGGAUCCCAAACAUCCCUGAGGGGUGCACCAUUGAUCCACCAGGGGACAGGUUGAAUACCCAGCGAAUUCUGUUUAUGUUGGCUUGCGCCCGAUUUCGUCAGCAAGGGACACUAGGUGGAUGUGGGCCACUGUGCCCAGCUGAAUCAAGCCACAUCGGGACAUACGAAAGGCACAUGCCUCAAAUAUCUGUCACCGGGCUCAGUUCGCCUCGUGUGUCAUGAGCCACGGCCACGCACAAGGAGAAUAGCGGUGCACCUUCCCAUCCGGUUCACAAAACCUGCAGCCAUCACCUGAGAGUAAUAUUCACAACCUUCGACACCCACAACAUGAUGAUGGUAAAAUGCCUUUUUUCACUGUGGUAUGCUUGUUUCUUAACCAUCUCCCCUGGGUGCCACUGUAUUUCAUAGGUUCUUAUUGAAAACAUUUUGAAAAACAUGUCACUAAGUUGGUUUUUUUUUUCCAUGUCACUAAGUUUUUGAGUGUUGUGUCCUAAUCUCAUUUUCCCCAUAAACCCUCUGGUUUUUAUUGUGUGAUUUUGCAUAGUGCAGUGCUAUUUAGGAACCCAUAUGUCACAUUAUAGCAGAACUGACCAUAUUUGUUCCAGUCAUUCGGCAAAAAGUGAAAAUUUUUGUUCUCUCUCUCCCCUUUAAAAUAUGUGUUUCCUGGGUUCAUUAGAACCUCUCCUAGUUCUUAACUAGCUUAACAUCAAAUAACAUUCACCAUCACCCAUACAUUUGGUUUUAUAAAACCAUAGAUCUCUUCAUAUUGAAUAAUCUCAAUAAAUGUUUGUUGAAAUAAUUUGAAUUGGCUUAUUCA
Long non-coding RNA from Neofelis nebulosa (Clouded leopard), 1400 nucleotides. RefSeq lists it as uncharacterized. Lineage: Eukaryota; Metazoa; Chordata; Mammalia; Carnivora; Felidae. The transcript is spliced from 3 exons. The record is from RefSeq and is a predicted model, not a curated record.